GACGAACGCUGGCGGCGUGCUUAACACAUGCAAGUCGAGCGGAAAGGCCCUUCGGGGUACUCGAGCGGCGAACGGGUGAGUAACACGUGAGUAACCUGCCCUAGGCUUUGGGAUAACCCCGGGAAACCGGGGCUAAUACCGGAUAUGACCUGGUGCCGCAUGGUGUUGGGUGGAAAGUUUUUUCGGCCUGGUAUGGGCUCGCGGCCUAUCAGCUUGUUGGUGGGGUGAUGGCCUACCAAGGCGAUGACGGGUAGCCGGCCUGAGAGGGCGACCGGCCACACUGGGACUGAGACACGGCCCAGACUCCUACGGGAGGCAGCAGUGGGGAAUAUUGCACAAUGGGCGGAAGCCUGAUGCAGCGACGCCGUGUGAGGGAUGAAGGCCCUCGGGUUGUAAACCUCUUUCAGCAGGGACGAAGCGUGAGUGACGGUACCUGCAGAAGAAGCGCCGGCCAACUACGUG
RNAcentral lists this ribosomal RNA (462 nucleotides) under uncultured bacterium. RNAcentral's name for it is "partial 16S ribosomal RNA". It matches the Rfam family "Bacterial small subunit ribosomal RNA", at positions 28 to 507 of the family's 1533-position model. The record is from RNAcentral.